AACGCACAUUGCGCCUCUUGGUAUUCCUCGAGGCAUGCCUAUUCGAGCGUCGUUUCGACCUUCAAGCGCAAGCUUGGUGUUGGGAAUCGCCCCUGAAACACGGUGGCGGUCCUUGAAUCCAUCGGCGGUGCCGGUGCAGCCUGGAGCGCAGCAGCAAUGCAGCUUCCUUGGGCAGCCCGAAACCAGCCGGACGACCCUUUUUACUUUUUAACGUCGACCUCGAAUUAGGUAGGGAUACCCGCUGAACUUAA
RNAcentral lists this unclassified non-coding RNA (251 nucleotides) under uncultured Magnaporthales. RNAcentral describes it as "sequence contains 5.8S rRNA gene, ITS2, 28S rRNA gene". Lineage: Eukaryota; Fungi; Ascomycota; Sordariomycetes; Magnaporthales. The record is from RNAcentral.